Molecule: ribosomal RNA, 232 nt
Filed under: uncultured Dominikia
Lineage: Eukaryota; Fungi; Glomeromycota; Glomeromycetes; Glomerales; Glomeraceae
Description: partial small subunit ribosomal RNA
Rfam family: Eukaryotic small subunit ribosomal RNA
Source: RNAcentral
UUUUGGAGGGCAAGUCUGGUGCCAGCAGCCGCGGUAAUUCCAGCUCCAAUAGCGUAUAUUAAAGUUGUUGCAGUUAAAAAGCUCGUAGUUGAAUUUCGGGAUCAAUAUGUUGGUCGUGCUUCGGUACGUACUGUCAUUAUUGGUUUCUCCCUUCUGAAGAACCUUGAUGUCAUUAAUUUGGUGUCUUGGGAAUUCAGGACUGUUACUUUGAAAAAAUUAAAGUGUUUAAAGC